CUAUUUAUAUAGUUUAAAAAACGUUACUUUUUCAUUGUAAAAUUAAAUAUUUAUAUUUUAUAAAUA
Molecule: transfer RNA, 66 nt
Filed under: Cautires sp. UPOL AJ0020
Lineage: Eukaryota; Metazoa; Arthropoda; Insecta; Coleoptera; Lycidae
Also listed under: 1 other name
Description: tRNA-Glu
Source: RNAcentral